AUUGAACGCUGGCGGCAUGCUUUACACAUGCAAGUCGAACGGUAACAGGUUAAGCUGACGAGUGGCGAACGGGUGAGUAAUGCAUCGGAACGUGCCCAGUCGUGGGGGAUAACGCAGCGAAAGCUGUGCUAAUACCGCAUACGAUCUAUGGAUGAAAGCGGGGGACCGUAAGGCCUCGCGCGAUUGGAGCGGCCGAUGUCAGAUUAGCUAGUUGGUGGGGUAAAGGCCCACCAAGGCGACGAUCUGUAGCUGGUCUGAGAGGACGACCAGCCACACUGGAACUGAGACACGGUCCAGACUCCUACGGGAGGCAGCAGUGGGGAAUUUUGGACAAUGGGCGCAAGCCUGAUCCAGCAAUGCCGCGUGCAGGAAGAAGGCCUUCGGGUUGUAAACUGCUUUGUACGGAACGAAACGGUCUGGGCGUAAUACCCGGGCUAAUGACGGUACCGUAAGAAUAAGCACCGGCGUAACUACGUAGCCGAGCAGCCGCGGU
RNAcentral lists this ribosomal RNA (493 nucleotides) under uncultured bacterium. Its description in RNAcentral is "bacterial SSU rRNA". It matches the Rfam family "Bacterial small subunit ribosomal RNA", at positions 29 to 521 of the family's 1533-position model. The record is from RNAcentral.